RNAcentral lists this ribosomal RNA (253 nucleotides) under uncultured bacterium. RNAcentral describes it as "partial 16S ribosomal RNA". It matches the Rfam family "Bacterial small subunit ribosomal RNA", at positions 524 to 776 of the family's 1533-position model. The record is from RNAcentral.
UACGUAGGUGACCAGCGUUGUCCGGAUUUACUGGGCGUAAAGAGCGCGCAGGCGGUCGUUCAAGUCGAGUGUGAAAGCCCCCGGCUCAACUGGGGAGGGUCAUUCGAUACUGAUCGACUUGAAGGCAGGAGAGGGAAGUGGAAUUCCCGGUGUAGUGGUGAAAUGCGUAGAUAUCGGGAGGAACACCAGUGGCGAAGGCGACUUCCUGGCCUGUUCUUGGCGCUGAGGCGCGAAAGCUAGGGGAGCAAACGGG